CCUUAACUUGUCAAAAAUACAAGGCCAUAACUAAAGGGUUUAUACUUCAUGGAAAUUUUCCUCACUUAGGUCAAGAUGGCAUUUUAAAGUCUGAACAUCUUUAUCUACUUAGGGUUAUCACAGUAUAUUAUGUACUGAAAGAGUCAUAGCAUAGCCUUGAAGCUUGUUUAUGCAUUAUUGUUAUUGUAUGUCGCAAGGUAAGUAAGAGGUUAUUGCUUAAAGACACAGUUAUGAAAAACAAUAUGUUCCAUUUCUAACACCUUGUCAGUACACAGUUUAAGAAAUACAAUAUUUGCAUUUGCCCAUAACACUCUAAUUUAGAAUGGUAUAAAAAAGAGGAUAGAUAGCAGAAGAUCACAGCUCUUGAAAAAGUCUGCCAAUAGAGACGAAAUGUGAUGUGUCGAGUGAGUGAGACAAGUACACAGGUACACAGGCUACUCCAGUUAUCCCAAGAAGAACCCUUGGUAGGAUUUGCUUCCCACGGUCAAAGUGGUAUCUGACUAACAUAGAAGUUGAGAAAAUCAGACUCUGAAGAAAGGGACUAUAAAAAGAUAAGUGGCCCUUAUUGGACAAGUGCUUUUACCCAAAGCAAAUUAGACUAACAACCCACAAAAUACAAUUUAGUACAAUAUCUAAAUAUUGUAGGGUGCCCUUCUGCUGUUCUGAAUUUGUACAAUAGGAGGCAUUUUUAUUAAUCUCUGGGUUAUUAUUAAUGGUUUUGGAUAUGACUCUAUGGCAGACAAUUGUCUCCUGAGACCUGACUGCUAAAAAG
Pelobates cultripes (western spadefoot toad) is the source of this 772-nucleotide non-coding RNA. NCBI's taxonomy places the organism in Eukaryota, Metazoa, Chordata, Amphibia, Anura, Pelobatidae. The record is from the annotation of a GenBank genome assembly.